This 851-nucleotide ribosomal RNA is filed under the name uncultured bacterium. Its description in RNAcentral is "bacterial SSU rRNA". It matches the Rfam family "Bacterial small subunit ribosomal RNA", at positions 48 to 896 of the family's 1533-position model. The record is from RNAcentral.
CUUAUCAUGCAGUCGUGGGGCAGCAGGGGUGUAGCAAUACACUCGCUGGCGACCGGCAAACGGGUGCGGAACACGUACGCAAUCUACCCAAAACUGGUGAAUAGCCCUCCGAAAGGAGGAUUAAUACACCGUAAUUUAAUGAGGUGGCAUCACUUUAUUAAUAUAGCUCCGGCGGUUUUGGAUGAGCGUGCGGCUGAUUAGGUAGUUGGCGGGGUAACGGCCCACCAAGCCUGCGAUCAGUAACUGGUGUGAGAGCACGACCAGUCACACGGGCACUGAGACACGGGCCCGACUCCUACGGGAGGCAGCAGUAAGGAAUAUUGGUCAAUGGACGCAAGUCUGAACCAGCCAUGCCGCGUGGAGGAUGAAGGCCCUCUGGGUUGUAAACUUCUUUUAUAGGGGACGAAACCUCUUUUUCCAAAGAGACUGACGGUACCCUAGGAAUAAGCACCGGCUAACUCCGUGCCAGCAGCCGCGGUAAUACGGAGGGUGCAAGCGUUAUCCGGAUUCACUGGGUUUAAAGGGUGCGUAGGAGGGCAGGUAAGUCAGUGGUGAAAUCUCCAAGCUUAACUUGGAAACUGCCGUUGAUACUAUCUGUCUUGAAUAUUGUGGAGGUGAGCGGAAUAUGUCACGUAGCGGUGAAAUGCUUAGAUAUGACAUAGAACACCAAUUGCGAAGGCAGCUCGCUACUCAAUUAUUGACUCUGAGGCACGAAAGCGUGGGGAUCAAACAGGAUUAGAUACCCUGGUAGUCCACGCCCUAAACUAUGGAUACUCGACAUACGCGAUAUACAGUGUGUGUCUGAGCGAAAGCAUUAAGUAUCCCACCUGGGAAGUACGACCGCAAGGUUG